ACGGAAGGCAGCAGUGAGGAAUAUUGGUCAAUGGGCGGAAGCCUGAACCAGCCAAGUCGCGUGAAGGAAGAAGGUAUUAUGUAUUGUAAACUUCUUUAGACGUAGAGAAAUAAGGGGAUCGUGAUCCCUGAUGCUAGUAUACGUAGAAUAAGGAUCGGCUAACUCCGUGCCAGCAGCCGCGGUAAUACGGAGGAUCCGAGCGUUAUCCGGAUUUACUGGGUUUAAAGGGUGCGCAGGCGGUCUUUUAAGUCAGUGGUUAAAUCGUGGAGCUUAACUCCAUCCCGCCAUUGAUACUGGAGGACUUGAUUGCGGUUGAGGUUGGCGGAAUUCGCCGUGUAGCGGUGAAAUGCAUAGAUAUGGCGAAGAACUCCGAUUGCGUAGGCAGCUGACCAAGCCGUAAAUGACGCUCAUGCACGAAAGUGCGGGGAUCGAACAGGAUUAGAUACCCUGGUA
Molecule: ribosomal RNA, 453 nt
Filed under: uncultured Porphyromonadaceae bacterium
Lineage: Bacteria; Pseudomonadati; Bacteroidota; Bacteroidia; Bacteroidales; Porphyromonadaceae
Description: partial 16S ribosomal RNA
Rfam family: Bacterial small subunit ribosomal RNA
Source: RNAcentral